RNAcentral lists this ribosomal RNA (628 nucleotides) under Morganella morganii. Its description in RNAcentral is "partial 23S ribosomal RNA". It matches the Rfam family "Bacterial large subunit ribosomal RNA", at positions 611 to 1238 of the family's 2925-position model. The record is from RNAcentral. Lineage: Bacteria; Pseudomonadati; Pseudomonadota; Gammaproteobacteria; Enterobacterales; Morganellaceae.
UAUAAUGGGUCAGCGACUUAUAUUCUGUAGCAAGGUUAACCGAAUAGGGGAGCCGCAGGGAAACCGAGUCUUAACUGGGCGUCUUAGUUGCAGGGUAUAGACCCGAAACCCGGUGAUCUAGCCAUGGGCAGGUUGAAGGUUGGGUAACACUAACUGGAGGACCGAACCGACUAAUGUUGAAAAAUUAGCGGAUGACUUGUGGCUGGGGGUGAAAGGCCAAUCAAACCGGGAGAUAGCUGGUUCUCCCCGAAAGCUAUUUAGGUAGCGCCUCGUGAAUUCAUCUCCGGGGGUAGAGCACUGUUUCGGCUAGGGGGUCAUCCCGACUUACCAACCCGAUGCAAACUGCGAAUACCGGAGAAUGUUAUCACGGGAGACACACGGCGGGUGCUAACGUUCGUCGUGAAGAGGGAAACAACCCAGACCGCCGGCUAAGGUCCCAAAGUCAUAAUUAAGUGGGAAACGAAGUGGGAAGGCUCAGACAGCCAGGAUGUUGGCUUAGAAGCAGCCAUCAUUUAAAGAAAGCGUAAUAGCUCACUGGUCGAGUCGGCCUGCGCGGAAGAUGUAACGGGGCUAAAUUAUGCACCGAAGCCGCGGCAGCGAUAUGUAAAUAUUGUUGGGUAGGGGAGCG